UUGGAGGGCAAGUCUGGUGCCAGCAGCCGCGGUAAUUCCAGCUCCAAUAGCGUAUAUUAAAGUUGUUGCAGUUAAAAAGCUCGUAGUUGAAUUUCGGGAUCAAUAUGCCGGUCAUGCCUUGGUAUGCACUGGUAUCUUUGAUUUCUCCCUUCUGACGAACUUUGAUGUCAUUAAUUUGGUGUCAUAGGGAAUCAGGACUGUUACUUUGAAAAAAUUAGAGUGUUUAAAGCAAGCUCACGCUUGAAUACAUUAGCAUGGAAUAAUGAAAUAGGACGUUUGAUUCUAUUUUGUUGGUUUCUAGGAUCGACGUAAUGAUUAAUAGGGAUAGUUGGGGGCAUUAGUAUUCAAUUGUCAGAGGUGAAAUUCUUGGAUUUAUUGAAGACUAACUACUGCGAAAGCAUUUGCCAAGGAUGUUUUCAUUAAUCAAGAACGAAAGUUAGGGGAUCGAAGACGAUCAGAUACCGUCGUAGUCUUAACCAUAAACUAUGCCGACUAGGGAUCGGACGAAGUUAAUUUUAUAAUGACGCGUUCGGCACCUUACGGGAAACCAAAGUGUUUGGGUUC
Molecule: ribosomal RNA, 564 nt
Filed under: uncultured Glomeromycotina
Lineage: Eukaryota; Fungi; Glomeromycota
Description: SSU rRNA
Rfam family: Eukaryotic small subunit ribosomal RNA
Source: RNAcentral